RNAcentral lists this ribosomal RNA (3028 nucleotides) under Salmonella enterica subsp. enterica serovar 1,4,[5],12:i:-. RNAcentral describes it as "23S ribosomal RNA". It matches the Rfam family "Bacterial large subunit ribosomal RNA". The record is from RNAcentral. Lineage: Bacteria; Pseudomonadati; Pseudomonadota; Gammaproteobacteria; Enterobacterales; Enterobacteriaceae.
GGGUUGUGAGGUUAAGCGACUAAGCGUACACGGUGGAUGCCCUGGCAGUCAGAGGCGAUGAAGGGCGUGCUAAUCUGCGAUAAGCGCCGGUAAGGUGAUAUGAACCGUUAUAACCGGCGAUACCCGAAUGGGGAAACCCAGUGUGAUUCGUCACACUAUCAUUAACUGAAUCCAUAGGUUAAUGAGGCGAACCGGGGGAACUGAAACAUCUAAGUACCCCGAGGAAAAGAAAUCAACCGAGAUUCCCCCAGUAGCGGCGAGCGAACGGGGAGGAGCCCAGAGCCUGAAUCAGCAUGUGUGUUAGUGGAAGCGUCUGGAAAGGCGCGCGAUACAGGGUGACAGCCCCGUACACAAAAGCGCAUGUGCUGUGAGCUCGAUGAGUAGGGCGGGACACGUGGUAUCCUGUCUGAAUAUGGGGGGACCAUCCUCCAAGGCUAAAUACUCCUGACUGACCGAUAGUGAACCAGUACCGUGAGGGAAAGGCGAAAAGAACCCCGGCGAGGGGAGUGAAAAAGAACCUGAAACCGUGUACGUACAAGCAGUGGGAGCCCCACCACUAAGCCAGUGGUGAACUCCACAUCCGCAUCCUUUGCUGAGGAUACGGUUAACGGAGCGAAAGCGACGUUCAACCGCAAAACAAGCAGAGGGGGCUUAGUGGUGGGGUGACUGCGUACCUUUUGUAUAAUGGGUCAGCGACUUAUAUUCUGUAGCAAGGUUAACCGAAUAGGGGAGCCGGAGGGAAACCGAGUCUUAAUUGGGCGUUAAGUUGCAGGGUAUAGACCCGAAACCCGGUGAUCUAGCCAUGGGCAGGUUGAAGGUUGGGUAACACUAACUGGAGGACCGAACCGACUAAUGUUGAAAAAUUAGCGGAUGACCUGUGGCUGGGGGUGAAAGGCCAAUCAAACCGGGAGAUAGCUGGUUCUCCCCGAAAGCUAUUUAGGUAGCGCCUCGUGAAUUCAUCUCCGGGGGUAGAGCACUGUUUCGGCUAGGGGGCCAUCCCGGCUUACCAACCCGAUGCAAACUGCGAAUACCGGAGAAUGUUAUCACGGGAGACACACGGCGGGUGCUAACGUCCGUCGUGAAGAGGGAAACAACCCAGACCGCCAGCUAAGGUCCCAAAGUCAUGGUUAAGUGGGAAACGAUGUGGGAAGGCCCAGACAGCCAGGAUGUUGGCUUAGAAGCAGCCAUCAUUUAAAGAAAGCGUAAUAGCUCACUGGUCGAGUCGGCCUGCGCGGAAGAUGUAACGGGGCUAAACCAUGCACCGAAGCUGCGGCAGCGACGCUGAUGCGUUGUUGGGUAGGGGAGCGUUCUGUAAGCCUGCGAAGGUGACCUGUGAGGGUUGCUGGAGGUAUCAGAAGUGCGAAUGCUGACAUAAGUAACGAUAAAGCGGGUGAAAAGCCCGCUCGCCGGAAGACCAAGGGUUCCUGUCCAACGUUAAUCGGGGCAGGGUGAGUCGACCCCUAAGGCGAGGCCGAAAGGCGUAGUCGAUGGGAAACGGGUUAAUAUUCCCGUACUUGGUGUUACUGCGAAGGGGGGACGGAGAAGGCUAUGUUGGCCGGGCGACGGUUGUCCCGGUUUAAGCGUGUAGGUGUGUGUUCCAGGUAAAUCCGGUUCACUUUAACACUGAGGCGUGACGACGAGGCACUACGGUGCUGAAGCAACAAAUGCCCUGCUUCCAGGAAAAGCCUCUAAGCAUCAGGUAACACGAAAUCGUACCCCAAACCGACACAGGUGGUCAGGUAGAGAAUACCAAGGCGCUUGAGAGAACUCGGGUGAAGGAACUAGGCAAAAUGGUGCCGUAACUUCGGGAGAAGGCACGCUGACACGUAGGUGAAGUGAUUUACUCAUGGAGCUGAAGUCAGUCGAAGAUACCAGCUGGCUGCAACUGUUUAUUAAAAACACAGCACUGUGCAAACACGAAAGUGGACGUAUACGGUGUGACGCCUGCCCGGUGCCGGAAGGUUAAUUGAUGGGGUCAGCGUAAGCGAAGCUCCUGAUCGAAGCCCCGGUAAACGGCGGCCGUAACUAUAACGGUCCUAAGGUAGCGAAAUUCCUUGUCGGGUAAGUUCCGACCUGCACGAAUGGCGUAAUGAUGGCCAGGCUGUCUCCACCCGAGACUCAGUGAAAUUGAACUCGCUGUGAAGAUGCAGUGUACCCGCGGCAAGACGGAAAGACCCCGUGAACCUUUACUAUAGCUUGACACUGAACAUUGAGCCUUGAUGUGUAGGAUAGGUGGGAGGCUUUGAAGUGUGGACGCCAGUCUGCAUGGAGCCGACCUUGAAAUACCACCCUUUAAUGUUUGAUGUUCUAACGUGGACCCGUAAUCCGGGUUGCGGACAGUGUCUGGUGGGUAGUUUGACUGGGGCGGUCUCCUCCUAAAGAGUAACGGAGGAGCACGAAGGUUGGCUAAUCCUGGUCGGACAUCAGGAGGUUAGUGCAAUGGCAUAAGCCAGCUUGACUGCGAGCGUGACGGCGCGAGCAGGUGCGAAAGCAGGUCAUAGUGAUCCGGUGGUUCUGAAUGGAAGGGCCAUCGCUCAACGGAUAAAAGGUACUCCGGGGAUAACAGGCUGAUACCGCCCAAGAGUUCAUAUCGACGGCGGUGUUUGGCACCUCGAUGUCGGCUCAUCACAUCCUGGGGCUGAAGUAGGUCCCAAGGGUAUGGCUGUUCGCCAUUUAAAGUGGUACGCGAGCUGGGUUUAGAACGUCGUGAGACAGUUCGGUCCCUAUCUGCCGUGGGCGCUGGAGAACUGAGGGGGGCUGCUCCUAGUACGAGAGGACCGGAGUGGACGCAUCACUGGUGUUCGGGUUGUCAUGCCAAUGGCACUGCCCGGUAGCUAAAUGCGGAAGAGAUAAGUGCUGAAAGCAUCUAAGCACGAAACUUGCCCCGAGAUGAGUUCUCCCUGAGACUUAGAGUCUCCUGAAGGAACGUUGAAGACGACGACGUUGAUAGGCCGGGUGUGUAAGCGCAGCGAUGCGUUGAGCUAACCGGUACUAAUGAACCGUGAGGCUUAACCUUACAACGCCGAAG